UUGCACGCUGGCGGCAUGCCUUACCCCUGCCAGUCGCACGGUAACGGGCCUUCGGGUGCCGACGAGUGGCGAACGGGUGAGUAAUACAUCGGAACGUGCCCGAUCGUGGGGGAUAACGAGGCGAAAGCUUUGCUAAUACCGCAUACGAUCUACGGAUGAAAGCAGGGGACCGCAAGGCCUUGCGCGGACGGAGCGGCCGAUGGCAGAUUAGGUAGUUGGUGGGAUAAAAGCUUACCAAGCCGACGAUCUGUAGCUGGUCUGAGAGGAUGAUCAGCCACACUGGGACUGAGACACGGCCCAGACUCCUACGGGAGGCAGCAGUGGGGAAUUUUGGACAAUGGGCGCAAGCCUGAUCCAGCCAUGCCGCGUGCAGGAUGAAGGCCUUCGGGUUGUAAACUGCUUUUGUACGGAACGAAAAGCCUUCUUUUAAUACAGGAGGGUCAUGACGGUACCGUAAGAAUAAGCACCGGCUAACUACGUG
This 481-nucleotide ribosomal RNA is filed under the name uncultured bacterium. RNAcentral describes it as "partial 16S ribosomal RNA". It matches the Rfam family "Bacterial small subunit ribosomal RNA", at positions 30 to 507 of the family's 1533-position model. The record is from RNAcentral.